GGCUUAAAAGCUGUCAACGGUUGACCAGGGCUCCCUGACCUGUACAGGCCUCUGCUAUGGGGGUGAUGGCCAGUCCUGGUGUCUGAGUGAUU
This is a small nucleolar RNA of Balaenoptera ricei (Rice's whale), 92 nucleotides long. RefSeq annotates it as small nucleolar RNA SNORD86. Lineage: Eukaryota; Metazoa; Chordata; Mammalia; Artiodactyla; Balaenopteridae. The transcript has a single exon. The record is from RefSeq and is a predicted model, not a curated record.